RNAcentral lists this ribosomal RNA (274 nucleotides) under uncultured bacterium. RNAcentral describes it as "partial 16S ribosomal RNA". It matches the Rfam family "Bacterial small subunit ribosomal RNA", at positions 523 to 796 of the family's 1533-position model. The record is from RNAcentral.
AUACGAACCGGACAAACGUUAUUCGGAAUCAUUGGGCUUAAAGGGUGCGUAGGCGGCGUAGUAGGCGGGGUGUGAAAUCCCUCGGCUCAACCGAGGAACUGCGCCUCAAACCACUAGGCUAGAGGGAGACAGAGGUAAGCGGAACUGAUGGUGGAGCGGUGAAAUGCGUUGAUAUCAUCAGGAACACCAGUGGCGAAAGCGGCUUACUGGGUCUCUUCUGACGCUGAGGCACGAAAGCUAGGGUAGCGAACGGGAUUAGAAACCCUAGUAGUCC